UGUGAAUUUUUUUUAAAAUUUUCAGAGCAAAUCAGGUAUUUUCCUAUAUUUAUUGACUGAUCUUAUAGAUGUUCAUCAGAGCUCAGAUUAAAGGUGAAGCUUGGUAAAUCAAAAACAGAGAAAACUGAAAUAAAGUGACUUUUCCAGUCAAAUAUUAACUGAA
Sphaeramia orbicularis (orbiculate cardinalfish) is the source of this 163-nucleotide long non-coding RNA. RefSeq lists it as uncharacterized. Lineage: Eukaryota; Metazoa; Chordata; Actinopteri; Kurtiformes; Apogonidae. The record is from RefSeq and is a predicted model, not a curated record. The transcript has 3 exons.